GACGAACGCUGGCGGCGUGCCUAACACAUGCAAGUCGAACGGAGAUAUUUUUGUAGUAAUACUAAGAUAUCUUAGUGGCGGACGGGUGAGUAACGCGUGAGGAACCUGCCUUGGAGUGGGGGAUAACACAGGGAAACCUGUGCUAAUACCGCAUAAUGUAGAGAGAUGGCAUCAUCAUUCUACCAAAGAUUUAUCGCUCUAAGAUGGCCUCGCGUCUGAUUAGUUAGUUGGUGAGGUAACGGCCCACCAAGACUGCGAUCAGUAGCCGGACUGAGAGGUUGAACGGCCACAUUGGGACUGAGAUACGGCCCAGACUCCUACGGGAGGCAGCAGUGGGGAAUAUUGCGCAAUGGGGGAAACCCUGACGCAGCAACGCCGCGUGAAGGAUGAAGGUUUUCGGAUUGUAAACUUCUUUGACGAGGGACGAAAGAAAUGACGGUACCUCGAAAACAAGCCACGGCUAACUACGUG
RNAcentral lists this ribosomal RNA (471 nucleotides) under uncultured organism. Its description in RNAcentral is "bacterial SSU rRNA". It matches the Rfam family "Bacterial small subunit ribosomal RNA", at positions 28 to 507 of the family's 1533-position model. The record is from RNAcentral.